Molecule: ribosomal RNA, 253 nt
Filed under: uncultured bacterium
Lineage: Bacteria
Description: partial 16S ribosomal RNA
Rfam family: Bacterial small subunit ribosomal RNA
Source: RNAcentral
UACGUAGGGGGCAAGCGUUGUCCGGAUUCAUUGGGCGUAAAGAGCGUGUAGGCGGCCAGGUAGGUCGGUUGUGAAAACUGGAGGCUCAACCUUCAGAGGUCGACCGAAACCAUCUGGCUAGAGUCCGGGAGAGGAGAGUGGAAUUCCACGUGUAGCAGUGAAAUGCGUAGAUAUGUGGAGGAACACCGAUGGCGAAGGCAGCCCCCUGGGUCAAGACUGACGCUCAUGCACGAAAGCGUGGGGAGCAAACAGG